UGCCAGCAGCCGCGGUAAUACGGAGGGUCCGAGCGUUAUCCGGAAUUAUUGGGUUUAAAGGGUCCGCAGGCUGUUUGUUAAGUCAGGGGUGAAAUCCUACCGCUCAACGGUAGAACUGCCUUUGAUACUGGCAAACUUGAGUUAUUGUGAAGUAGUUAGAAUGUGUAGUGUAGCGGUGAAAUGCAUAGAUAUUACACAGAAUACCGAUUGCGAAAGCAGAUUACUAACAAUUAACUGACGCUCAUGCACGAAAGCGUGGGGAGCAAACAGGAUUAGAUA
This 279-nucleotide ribosomal RNA is filed under the name uncultured bacterium. Its description in RNAcentral is "partial 16S ribosomal RNA". It matches the Rfam family "Bacterial small subunit ribosomal RNA", at positions 506 to 784 of the family's 1533-position model. The record is from RNAcentral.